CAGCCGCCGCGGUAAUACGAGGGGGGCAAGCGUUGUUCGGAAUUAUUGGGCGUAAAGGGUGCGUAGGCGGUUUGAUAAGUCUUGUGUGAAAUCUCUGGGCUCAACCCAGAGUCUGCACAGGAAACUGUCGGGCUUGAGAGUGGGAGAGGUGAGUGGAAUUUCCGGUGUAGCGGUGAAAUGCGUAGAUAUCGGAAGGAACACCUGUGGCGAAAGCGGCUCACUGGACCAUUUCUGACGCUGAUGCACGAAAGCUAGGGGAGCAAACAGGAUUAGAUACCCCCGUAGUCCCUGUCUCUUAUAC
This 301-nucleotide ribosomal RNA is filed under the name uncultured bacterium. RNAcentral describes it as "partial 16S ribosomal RNA". It matches the Rfam family "Bacterial small subunit ribosomal RNA", at positions 509 to 807 of the family's 1533-position model. The record is from RNAcentral.